Molecule: ribosomal RNA, 253 nt
Filed under: uncultured bacterium
Lineage: Bacteria
Description: partial 16S ribosomal RNA
Rfam family: Bacterial small subunit ribosomal RNA
Source: RNAcentral
UACGUAGGGGGCAAGCGUUGUCCGGAAUCAUUGGGCGUAAAGAGCGUGUAGGCGGUUCGGUAAGUCGGCUGUGAAAGUCAAAGGCUCAACCUUUGAAUGUCAGCGGAUACUGCCGGGCUAGAGUCCGGAAGAGGCGAGUGGAACUCCUGGUGUAGCGGUGGAAUGCGCAGAUAUCAGGAAGAACACCAACGGCGAAGGCAGCUCGCUGGGACGGAACUGACGCUGAGGCGCGAAAGCGUGGGGAGCGAACAGG